UUGAUGUUCUAAUCUGAUGCUAUUAUUACUACCUAUACAUCUUCAACCUUUGCAUAUUUCACGUCUUUACAAUAUAUUAACAAUCUAAUAUUUACAUGUGAAUUAUUGUUAAUAAAAAUGAUUGAAAAUAGCAUUAUUAAAUUAAAUAGUGUAACUUGCUCGCAGAGGGGAAGGGAAGAAUACUGUUCAAAAUGAACAGUAAAACUACUGUUUACACCUUCUUUUGCAAUCUGCUUCUUCGCGUUACUUUGGAUGGCUUCUUCUCAUUCCUCUUCUUUCCUCUUUCCUCUCCCUUUUCUAUGACCAUUUUUUCCGUUCCGAAUAUGUGCUCAAUUCAGUGAAUUAAGCUUAAUCAAUUUAUGUUCUGCGCUUUCUUCUUCUAGAAACUUCGAAUCUUUCCUCUCAUUCUUAGAACUUUUUAUUUUCUUAUUUUCAUGCUUUCCUUUUUAGUAAUUUCUUAAUCAAGCUUUAAUCUUUCCUUAAUUUUAAUUAGUAUCUUUAUGUAGUUUAAAGUUUGUGGUUUUAUUCUUUAUUGUCUUCCAUUGUUAAGGUAUUCUUGCUUCUGAAUCUCUUUAAUUCUGUUUAUUGUUGUUAGUUUUGUUUAUUUGUUGAAUUUACUUGUCCCUAUGCAUUCCAUUAGUGAGUAGUCUUCUCACUAAGGUAGAGGGAUGAAGCCUACCAAAAACAUGAUUGGAUUGAUGGAUAAAGGUAUUAUUUUUGUUUGUUAGAUGGACAAAAGAAGUACUUUGCUUGGAGUGAUUAUACUGAUCAAAUUGUAUGGAUAUUGUUUUUAAUUUGUCAACUGCUAGAACUUUGUUUUUAUUGAUCAUGAUUUGUGUUGCCCAAUCUAAAGGUUGAUUUUCUUAUUUUCAUAAUUUUAAUUUUUCCCAAAAUAUCAAAAAAUUUGUUGUUUUUAAGUUUUUAGUGAUUGUUUUUUUAUGAUGUUGUUUGCUAUAUGUGUUAAAUUUGAGAUUUUUAUAGUUGUUACAAUGUAAGUUUCAAUUUUUUGGUUUUAAAUUGUGGGUUUUUGAUAUUUUUGGGUUUAUUUUGGUUUAUACUUUUGAUUUUUACGGAUCAAAUGUCCUAUUCUACUAAAAGACAUUGCGCAAGGAGAAUUAGUAAUUAAAAAAUGUGUUAUUAAAGUAUGUUGAGUUUUAUAUAUCAUCUAUGUGAAGUUGCAUGUGAUGUUUUACCAAUUGUUUUCAAGUUUUGAUUGUUUUUGCUAACAACGCUAAGGUUGAGUGCAUAUCCAGGUCAAGUGAAAGCCUCUCAGUGUCAUUGGGUAUUAAAAUGUUAGUAUUUUAUAUAUUAUAAUGCUAUUUAGUUUGUUUAUUGUUUGUCAUUGAUGUUUGUCAAGCGAAACUGAAACGAAUCGUUUCUUCAAACCAGAUCAAAAUCAUUAAUUAUGAUGCCUAUGUGUGUAAAUGUCUAUGUGGGCAACUGAUGCCUCGCUGAAUGCUGGCGUCCCUUCUACCUGAAAAUAACUUAAACCCUAGAUUUUAUCUCUUGUUCAUGGACAAUCAAUGUUCUUUACUCUAUUUCUUUCGUUAAAUAUUUUGCGAAUCAUCAAGUUAUGUCAGUAUUCUUAUUUUUAAUAUUCAUUGUAAAAUUGCGGAAACAAAGAUUAUGGUGGAUUUAUGUAGAGAGCAGCAUAAAGCAGAGAAAGUUCCUGUGUCCAGCGGAGCAAGCUGGGUUCAAAAGCCCUUUGAUCAAUGAUUUCUGUAGUUUGUUGCAAAGUUGGUAGCUUUUUUUUCUUUUUUUCUCCAUUAAAGAUGGAAGCUUAAUGUUGUGAUUGUUUCUCACAUUGUUAAAACUUAUAAGUAUUGUAGUGAUAAAUUAUGUGGAUUUUUGUGUGAUUUUGAUUUUUGUUUCGUUUGAAUUCAGUUUUUUCAGGAAGUUCAGGUGUGCGGAUUUGGAAGUUAAAGCAUAGUAAGAAAAAUGCCCUCGUUUGUCUAAUGUGAAUUGAAGAAGCACCAACUACAUCUAGCCUGCAACUAACCAACUCCCAGCAACACCUCACACAAAGCUGCACAACCGAGCAAACAAGAUCAAGAAAAGAGACACAACAAUGAAAGAUAUACAAGUCAUAAUGAGGGAUCGAAGAAGGAUCUUGCAAGGGAAAAUGGAGAAAAUCAGCUAGAAUUAAUAAUUAGUGAUGAGAUGAGGGAGUUAGUGGAUCCAUGACAUUUAGUUUUUAAAAGUAGUUCAAGUGUGCUGUAUAGCUCAUGACUCAGUUAAUUGAUUCUUAAGUGCUUACAAAACUCUGGACUUUGCCCUUGUCCUGUUAAUAUGAUUUUGGACAAGCUUAUCGAUGAGUUCUAAUCCUUAAGGUUUUUUCCUCUUCCAGCCCCUCAGUUGCUGCUUGUGUACUGUUUGCAGCUUCCUUUGUUUCUUCUUGAUCUUUUGCUAUAAACAUCCCAGUCAUUAUCCAGUAUUUGAAAUGAAAACUGAUAACAGGACGCUAAUAGUACAAAAGCUGUUACAGCUAUUUGUUACCUGGUAUUAUAAAACGUUAAUGGUAACAAAAUUUUAGUGAAAUUUUGCUUAGAAAAUCACCAGUUAAGGUUCAUUUUACUUGGAUAGCUUGAAUUGUAAAUUAAGAUAUUCUACUCAAUUAAAAAUACUCAAAAGAGGAUUUCAUAGGCAAUAUACUACAAACAUGAGUAAAGAUGAUGAUGAUACUAAUAAUCUGUUCUCAAAUAUGUACAUAUAUAGUAUAUAUUUGAUUUAAAGCUAGUUAGGGGUAAGAUACUAAGAUUGUGAUGUUUGGGCUUUAAAUUGGAUUAAAUUUAUUUUGGAUUGCGUUGAUUGUUUGGAUGUUCUCUAACAAUUUAACUUUAGGUUUUUGGGACUUUCAUUCGCUCCUAUUUAUUUAACUUUAGGUUUUUGGGAUUUUCACAUUAGGUUUUUUUGGUUUUUAGUGAUCUCUAACAAUUUCUUUACUUGCUUAUUAUGUUUCUUCUUAUUUUAUGCUUAUUUAUCUUAUUCUGUUAAUUAGGGUUCCAACAGGAAAAUCCUAUUUAUGAAUGGCUUAAAUUUAGAGGGAUUUGAAUCAAGAAAAUCAAAUUACUUUGACAAUGUGUUCCAGUUUUUCCCGGAUAAAGUUCUUGAAACUACUGCGUAUUAGUUAAUUCUUGGAUGAUUGUCUGCAAAUUUAAGGCUAAUUUCAAAAUAUAAGUAGUGUCUAUUAUCUGUUUUUGGAUAUUAUAACUUUAUAUCUUACCAAAUAAGAUGAUAUUUAGAAUUAGGUUAUUUCACAUUUUUAUUGAUCAAAAUCGUAUUUGAUUGAG
Molecule: long non-coding RNA, 3290 nt
Organism: Amaranthus tricolor (Joseph's coat)
Lineage: Eukaryota; Viridiplantae; Streptophyta; Magnoliopsida; Caryophyllales; Amaranthaceae
Exons: 3
Source: RefSeq, a predicted model, not a curated record